Molecule: ribosomal RNA, 1954 nt
Filed under: Escherichia coli
Lineage: Bacteria; Pseudomonadati; Pseudomonadota; Gammaproteobacteria; Enterobacterales; Enterobacteriaceae
Description: partial 23S ribosomal RNA
Rfam family: Bacterial large subunit ribosomal RNA
Source: RNAcentral
AGUAAUCAAACGAGAUUUUCUUAGUAGCGGCGAGCGAACGGGAAAGAGGCCAAACCGGAGCGGGCAACCGCACCGGGGUUGAGGACAGUCAUCAAGUGUAAAUGAGGUAGAAGAAUCGAGCUGGAAAGCUCAGCCGCAGAAGGUGAAAGCCCUGUAAUCGAAACCUUGCAUACAUGGGACUGUAUCCAGAGUACCACGAGACACGUGAAACCUUGUGGGAAGCAGGGGGGACCACCCUCCAAGCCAAAAUACUGAUAUCGACCGAUAGCGCAUAGUACCGUGAGGGAAAGGUGAAAAGAACCCCUGGCGGGGAGUGAAAGAGAACCUGAAACCGUAUGUCUACAAACAGUCGAAGUCUGUAUAUAUAUCAGGACGACGGCGUGCCUAUUGAAGAAUGAACCGACGAGUUACUGUUGCUAGCGAGGUUAAGUGGAAAACAUGGAGCCGCAGCGAAAGCGAGUCUGAACAGGGCGUUCAGUUAGUAAUAGUAGACCCGAAACCGUAGUGAUCUAUCCAUGGCCAGGUUGAAGCACAGGUAAAAUUGUGUGGAGGACCGAACUCGUGAGCGUUGAAAAGCUUUGGGAUGAGUUGUGGAUAGGGGUGAAAUGCCAAUCGAACACGGAGAUAGCUGGUUCUCCCCGAAAUAGCUUUAGGGCUAGCCUCGAGGUAGAGAGUAUAGGCGGUAGAGCACUGAUCGGGCUAGGGGCCAUACCGGUUACCGAACCUAGUCAAACUACGAAUGGCUAUACUUAUACUCGGGAGUCAGACAGUGAAUGAUAAGGUCCAUUGUCAAGAGGGAAACAGCCCAGAACACCGACUAAGGUCCCCAAUGUUACACUAAGUGGCGAAGGAUGUGGAAUUUCCAAAACAACCAGGAUGUUGGCUUAGAAGCAGCCACCAUUUAAAGAGUGCGUAAUAGCUCACUGGUCGAGAGACUCUGCGCCGAAAAUGUCCGGGGCUAAAGUGUAAAACCGAAGUCGUGUCAUAUGCAGCAAUGUAUAUGGGUAGGGGAGCGUUCUCAUCGGGCUGAAGCAGUACCGUAAGGAGUUGUGGACUGAUGAGAAGUGAGAAUGUCGGUAUGAGUAGCGAAAAGAAUGGUGAGAAUCCAUUCCACCGAAAGCCUAAGGGUUCCUGAGCAACGAUCGUCGUCUCAGGGUAAGUCGGGACCUAAGCCGAGGCGGAAAAGCGUAGGCGAUGGACAACAGGUUGAAAUUCCUGUACCGGUGUGAAUCGUUUGAUCGAUGGAGUGACACAGUAAGGUAGGUCAGCACGCGAUUGGAAGAGCGUGUUUAAGCAGGUAGGUUGAGCUAUAGGCAAAUCCGUAGUUCUAAAAGCUGAGAUGUGAUGACGAGCGACUAGCAAUAGUCGCGAAGUGAUUGAUCCUACACUGUCGAGAAAAGCUUCUAGGUAGAGACACAUCGCCCGUACCAAAACCGACACAGGUAGGCGGGGAGAGAAUCCUAAGGUGCGCGGGAAAACCCUCGUUAAGGAACUCGGCAAAAUGCCUCCGUAACUUCGGGAAAAGGAGGACUCAUGUAGUGUGAAGAGCAGAAGCGCUUGGAGCAUGAAUGAGUGGCACAAGAGAGGCGCAAGCGACUGUUUACCACAAACACAGGUGCCUGCUAAAGCGAAAGCUGAUGUAUAGGUGCUGACACCUGCCCGGUGCUGGAAGGUUAAGAGGAGGGGUUAGACUUUGGUCGAAGCUCUGAAUUGAAGCCCCAGUAAACGGCGGCCGUAACUAUAACGGUCCUAAGGUAGCGAAAUUCCUUGUCGGGUAAGUUCCGACCCGCACGAAAGGUGUAACGACUUGCGCACUGUCUCAACGAGGGACCCGGUGAAAUUGAAGUACCUGUGAAGAUGCAGGUUACCCGCGACUGGACAGAAAGACCCCAUGGAGCUUUACUGCAACCUAAGAUUGAACUUAGUUAAUGAAUGUACAGGAUAGGUGGGAGAC